CUUUGUUUCUCUCCUUCUUUAAAAUUUUUUUUUGUUGUCUUGAUUUUAAUGCCACAAUCCUUUUUCAGUUGAAAUUUUGUAUAUUUAUUUCUGAACUCAUGCAGCAGCAUUAUGAUAUCCUCCAGAAGGAACGUUCAAAAAUUGUUUCCUUUGAUAAAACAUCAAGACGAUGAAACGAGAGGGCCAGCUUCAAUGCGAUUCCCUCGUUCCUGCCCUGCUGUGUCCUCGUUCAACAUCACCAAAUGAAUGUAUAAAUAAACAAAUAAACUGUGCGCGCCGCAACGAAGUGCUGCAAAGGCAACAAAAUCCUCCUGCGCAGGAACGUCGUCGUCGUCAUCUUCAGUGAACAAGGAGGACGAGCGACCGACACGAAGAGAUUUCAUAUGGCUGGAUGGAGAGCAUCAAUGCCUCGUCGCCCGAUCGAGGAUAAAGCAAAAGGGAUCGUGGAGGGCCUUAAAGGAUUGAAUGACUAAAAAUAGAAAAAGGACUCAUCCUUUUUAUGUGUCUGCUGGCAGAAAAGUAAUGAGUUUUUCUUGUCCCUUCUCCCCG
This is a long non-coding RNA of Episyrphus balteatus (marmalade hoverfly), 549 nucleotides long. RefSeq lists it as uncharacterized. The record is from RefSeq and is a predicted model, not a curated record. The transcript has 3 exons. Lineage: Eukaryota; Metazoa; Arthropoda; Insecta; Diptera; Syrphidae.